AUAGAAAAAGAGGAAGUCAAAUGACCUAAUGUCUCUUGCUGAUGGUAUAAUUCUGUAACUAUAAAACCCUAAAGAUUCCACUAAAAGACUCCUAGACCUUAUAAAUGACUUCAAACGUGCAAGCUGACAACCAAAUCAAGAACACAAUCCUAUUUACAAUAGACACACACAAACACACACACACACAAACCUAUGAAUACAUUUAACCAAGGAG
RNAcentral lists this long non-coding RNA (214 nucleotides) under Pan troglodytes (chimpanzee). Its description in RNAcentral is "long non-coding RNA NONPTRT011994". The record is from RNAcentral. Lineage: Eukaryota; Metazoa; Chordata; Mammalia; Primates; Hominidae.